This 253-nucleotide ribosomal RNA is filed under the name uncultured bacterium. Its description in RNAcentral is "partial 16S ribosomal RNA". It matches the Rfam family "Bacterial small subunit ribosomal RNA", at positions 524 to 776 of the family's 1533-position model. The record is from RNAcentral.
GACGAACCGUACGAACGUUAUUCGGAAUGACUGGGCGUAAAGGGCGCGUAGGCGGCUUGCACAGUCAGGCGUGAAAUUCCUGGGCUCAACCUGGGGACUGCGCUUGAGACGUGUGGGCUUGAGUGGGGAAGAGGGUCGUGGAAUUCCCAGUGUAGAGGUGAAAUUCGUAGAUAUUGGGAAGAGCACCGGUGGCGAAGGCGGCGACCUGGUCCUUGACUGACGCUGAGGCGCGAAAGCGUGGGGAGCAAACAGG